Molecule: long non-coding RNA, 1774 nt
Filed under: Sus scrofa (pig)
Lineage: Eukaryota; Metazoa; Chordata; Mammalia; Artiodactyla; Suidae
Description: lncRNA (ENSSSCG00025072760.1, ENSSSCG00055007397.1)
Source: RNAcentral
CUUCGCCUCGGCCCCGCGCUCGGUGUCGCGGCCUCUCGGGCCCGGAGACGACGUGCGCGAGAAGCGGCGGCCGGGGCGCCGCGCUGCGGACGGAGGUCCUUUCACCUUCCCUGUUUUAUAAAUGGCAAACCUUUCCUAAACAAGCUGUCCAUCCAACCGCCAAAACCACAGGACAAGAAUUUCUACUCAAGGGGGAAACAGCAAGAAAGAAAAAAAGGUCACCAUUCCUAGGUGCUGUAUUCCAGGGACCAUGACACCUCACCUUCCGGCUCCUGCAUCCUUCCUGCAGUAUCUAAGGGGACAGUGAGUUUAGAUGCCACUGAUACAAUCCCAACAUCACAAAAUGGAAGGAGUUUGGGUUCCAGAGUAACCAGCCUCGCAGGAGAGCUGCCAGACUUGCCUUGGACAGUGACACGAGGGAGAAACAAACGUAUAUGUGAGAUCGCUGAGGUCAUGUUACCGCGACUGAAGUAAGAUAAGGUAGUGUCCGGAGUAUGGGGUCUGGAGCUUGACUACCUGGAUUCAAAUCCCUGCUCAGUCAUCUCUUGGCUGUGUGACUCAAGAUGAGAAGAUACAUCGCUUCUGCUUCUAAGAGUCGGUGAUCCUCAUCCUUCUCUCUGCACCUGCCCUUGCCGUGUCCUUGGUCAGCACAGAGGAAGGACAACAGCACAUCUCCCUCACAUCGGAAGUGGCUCCACAAGUUGGCCUUCACUGCCAUCAACCCUAACAGAUGUGGUGCUCUAUCUCCACAGUCCUCCAGAGAGCCCUCAAGUCCCUCAGGGUGUCUUUACUCCAAGAAGGGGUUCUAGACUAGACAAGCAGAGGUGUUGCAGAAAGGAAGAUACUGCAAAGGAUUCAGGCAGCAAAGGGUGUGCUCCCCACACUGGGGAAGACAUCUGGGCAGAAGGGCCUGGGCUGGACCUCACAUCCAUCCCUCUUCCCUUGGGGUCCUUGACCACCCUUGAGAAUGGCACCUACAUGCUCUAAUUCUCCAUAAAAUCCAGAGGCAAAAUGUCCCUGCUGUAAAGACCUUGAACCCUUUUUGGGAAGGUUUUAUGAACUUAAUAUCGUGGGUUGCUCUAACCCCAGCCUUUGUCCUGACAGCAUCUGCUCAGGGAGUUUGAGAUUCAGCCAGUCUGUAAAGAGCUUCAGAUCCAGGGCUUUGAGGUGGGGAGAAGUGGUCACCUUGGAGAAAGCAGGACACUGUGGCCAGCUGGGGCAUUCUUUGCUAUAGAUUCCAAGAGACAAACUUGCUGAUCCCAGGUCAAGUCUGCCCCUGCUUCCCUGCAUCUAGAACCAUCUCUGGCUCCACCUCCCAUUAACACCCCAGAACAGAUUCCCUACCCACCUCCUCAAGAAGAACAUUGCCUCCGGGGAUUUUCUAAGAGUUUUUAGGAUAAGCAGCAGUUAGAAGCUAACAAUAAGUAAAAUUUCCAGAAAUCAAGAGAAACUUGCAAUGUUCCUUGACACUUUAAAUGAUGCACUUGAAACAAGAGGCUUGCAUUAGGAUCUAAAUUAGAGUUCUUGAGUGGCUUUUUGUAUUUUUUCUUUCACGUUAACCUGACUACAACUUUAUCUCCUCCAUUCACUUCCAAGAAGUCCUUAUAUAAUAAAGAGUUGAAGGCUGAAGCCCUUGCUUCCUCAAUAGGGGGCAGGCUCACCAGCUCCAUCUUGUCAGUUACCUCUUAAUGGUUGGUAGGAUGAGGGAAGCUUUCUCAAAAGACAGUUAAAAUAGUGCUUUAAGAAAUCCUCCGCCAAUAAAAAGUUGCUUCCA